RNAcentral lists this transfer RNA (69 nucleotides) under Ansonia sp. BORN 08424. RNAcentral describes it as "tRNA-Val". It matches the Rfam family "tRNA". From Rfam's summary of the family: Transfer RNA (tRNA) molecules are approximately 80 nucleotides in length. Their secondary structure includes four short double-helical elements and three loops (D, anti-codon, and T loops). The record is from RNAcentral. Lineage: Eukaryota; Metazoa; Chordata; Amphibia; Anura; Bufonidae. RNAcentral also lists the same sequence under 1 other name.
CGUAGCGUAGCUUAACUAAAGCAUCCCGCUUACACCGGGAAAAUGUUUGUGAAAACCAAACCGCUUCGA